Nicotiana tabacum (common tobacco) is the source of this 901-nucleotide long non-coding RNA. RefSeq lists it as uncharacterized. Lineage: Eukaryota; Viridiplantae; Streptophyta; Magnoliopsida; Solanales; Solanaceae. The record is from RefSeq and is a predicted model, not a curated record.
CCAUUUUCCUCUAAAUUCUCUUUAAUUUUUCUUUCUUUUUUUUUCUUUACAUCCUUGUCUUUCUUCUACACUUCCAAAUCAAUGCUUUCAAUCGAUGUUAAACCCUGAGUACUUUCAGUCACAAAUCAAUUAAUCUCCCAAACUAGUUCCUUCCACCAGUUCGAAUCUCAGGAGCUAUAGUGAUAGAGCUCCAAAAUUUCUUUUCUCAAUUUUCAAAUCAGUAGUCGCUUUCAAUUUUAUCAGUACAGUAACCAAAUUGUAGCUCAAGCAGACAAUUCCAAUUUCAAACCCAAAUGAGUUUCAAGUUCAAGUGUGAUUCCCAUAUUGUCAAUCACGGGUACAAAUUUUGGGUGCAAACUCCCAACAGCAACGGCCCAAUGGAUUAAAUAAUCAAGCAAUUAAAAAUUUUCUAUGCGCUACAUAUAUGUUGCUUGCGUACAUAAAACCCCCAACUUUAGCUCCUAAUCACCCAUGGACAUGAAAGGCAAAUUGGAGUUGAAAUUGGCUUUAAAAACGCCACUGUUUCCAUGAAGCCUACAAACUUUACCCCAAAUGCACUAAUAGUGUGCGUGAUUUCGACCUCUAUCCUUCCGUCUAAAUUAGGGGCAAAUCAGUCAAAUAGUAUAACGUGCAGAUUCCGAUGUUGGUCUCAGCGGUGUUCGAUGGUGAUUGCUCGGACUCUUCUUCCAGAAGACUUGAGAUAGUACUACAUGGCGUUCGCAGAUCCUUAAGUCCCCUUUCCUAUCUUUAUUACUAUUUACUUUGUAUCAGACAUUUUUGUAUUUCAUUUCAGACCUUAUCUGUAGUAUUCUAGUUGCUCAUGUACUUGUGAUACCAGUUUUUGGGAAUAGUCUUAGACAUCGAUAGUUUCAGAUUUAUGACACAAUUCAGGAUGUUUUAG